Molecule: ribosomal RNA, 102 nt
Filed under: Neurospora tetrasperma FGSC 2509
Lineage: Eukaryota; Fungi; Ascomycota; Sordariomycetes; Sordariales; Sordariaceae
Source: RNAcentral
ACAUACGACUAUAGAUGGUAGAAAACUCGGGAUCCCGUCCGCUCUCCCAUAGAUAAGCUACCAAUCGGAUUCUUGUUAGGAAGAGCGAAAACGUUGUAGGGA